AGCUUUUCGAAUCCGUGCUGAGAUUUCGUCAGACACUAGCCCAUGAUUCCUGAUCAGACUUCCGAGAUAAGUGAAGUU
Non-coding RNA from Schistosoma haematobium, 78 nucleotides. The record is from Rfam. Lineage: Eukaryota; Metazoa; Platyhelminthes; Trematoda; Strigeidida; Schistosomatidae.